RNAcentral lists this ribosomal RNA (490 nucleotides) under uncultured bacterium. RNAcentral describes it as "partial 16S ribosomal RNA". It matches the Rfam family "Bacterial small subunit ribosomal RNA", at positions 30 to 507 of the family's 1533-position model. The record is from RNAcentral.
AUUGAACGCUGGCGGCAGGCCUAACACAUGCAAGUCGAACGGUAACAGGAAGAAGCUUGCUUCUUUGCUGACGAGUGGCGGACGGGUGAGUAAUGUCUGUGAAACUGCCUGAUGGAGGGGGAUAACUACUGGAAACGGUAGCUAAUACCGCAUAAUGUCGCAAGACCAAAGAGGGGGACCUUCGGGCCUCUUGCCAUCGGAUGUGCCCAGAUGGGAUUAGCUAGUAGGUGGGGUAACGGCUCACCUAGGCGACGAUCCCUAGCUGGUCUGAGAGGAUGACCAGCCACACUGGAACUGAGACACGGUCCAGACUCCUACGGGAGGCAGCAGUGGGGAAUAUUGCACAAUGGGCGCAAGCCUGAUGCAGCUAUGCCGCGUGUAUGAAGAAGGCCUUCGGGUUGUAAAGUACUUUCAGCGGGGAGGAAGGGAGUAAAGUUAAUACCUUUGCUCAUUGACGUUACCCGAAGAAGAAGCACCGGCUAACUCCGUG